AGAGUUUGAUCAUGGCUCAGGACGAACGCUGGCGGCGUGCUUAACACAUGCAAGUCGAGCGGAAAGGCUCCUUCGGGGGUACUCGAGCGGCGAACGGGUGAGUAACACGUGAGUAGUCUGCCCUUGGCUUUGGGAUAACUACCGGAAACGGUGGCUAAUACCGGAUACGACCACUCCUUGCAUGAGGUGGUGGUGGAAAGUUUUUUCGGCCAGGGAUGUGCUCGCGGCCUAUCAGCUUGUUGGUGGGGUAAUGGCCUACCAAGGCUUCGACGGGUAGCCGGCCUGAGAGGGUGACCGGCCACACUGGGACUGAGACACGGCCCAGACUCCUACGGGAGGCAGCAGUGGGGAAUAUUGGACAAUGGGCGGAAGCCUGAUCCAGCAACGCCGCGUGAGGGAUGACGGCCUUCGGGUUGUAAACCUCUUUCAGUACCGACGAAGCGCCGAUGAUGGUGGUGACGGUAGGUACAGAAGAAGCACCGGCCAACUACGUG
Molecule: ribosomal RNA, 494 nt
Filed under: uncultured bacterium
Lineage: Bacteria
Description: bacterial SSU rRNA
Rfam family: Bacterial small subunit ribosomal RNA
Source: RNAcentral